This 402-nucleotide ribosomal RNA is filed under the name uncultured Caulobacter sp. Its description in RNAcentral is "bacterial SSU rRNA". It matches the Rfam family "Bacterial small subunit ribosomal RNA", at positions 353 to 772 of the family's 1533-position model. The record is from RNAcentral. Lineage: Bacteria; Pseudomonadati; Pseudomonadota; Alphaproteobacteria; Caulobacterales; Caulobacteraceae.
AGUGGGGAAUCUUGCGCAAUGGGCGAAAGCCUGACGCAGCCAUGCCGCGUGAAUGAUGAAGGUCUUAGGAUUGUAAAAUUCUUUCACCGGGGACGAUAAUGACGGUACCCGGAGAAGAAGCCCCGGCUAACUUCGUGCCAGCAGCCGCGGUAAUACGAAGGGGGCUAGCGUUGCUCGGAAUUACUGGGCGUAAAGGGAGCGUAGGCGGACUGUUUAGUCAGAGGUGAAAGCCCAGGGCUCAACCUUGGAAUUGCCUUUGAUACUGGCAGUCUUGAGUACGGAAGAGGUAUGUGGAACUCCGAGUGUAGAGGUGAAAUUCGUAGAUAUUCGGAAGAACACCAGUGGCGAAGGCGACAUACUGGUCCGUUACUGACGCUGAGGCUCGAAAGCGUGGGGAGCAAA